UACGUAGGGGGCUAGCGUUGUCCGGAAUCAUUGGGCGUAAAGAGCGUGUAGGCGGUCCGGUAAGUCCGCUGUGAAAGUCGGGGGCUCAACCCUCGAAUGCCGGUGGAUACUGUCGGGCUAGAGUCCGGAAGAGGCGAGUGGAAUUCCUGGUGUAGCGGUGAAAUGCGCAGAUAUCAGGAAGAACACCUAUGGCGAAGGCAGCUCUCUGGGACGGUACUGACGCUGAGACGCGAAAGCGUGGGGAGCGAACAGG
Molecule: ribosomal RNA, 253 nt
Filed under: uncultured bacterium
Lineage: Bacteria
Description: partial 16S ribosomal RNA
Rfam family: Bacterial small subunit ribosomal RNA
Source: RNAcentral